GGGCUUGCCCUGGAAAAAGGAGAGAGUGACCUCUUCCCAUCUGGAGUAGAUGGAUUCACCACCACCAAUUGCAAAUGGGAGACUUAAUAUUGGGGUUUGCACUUAAAAAUUUAAUUCUGUGGUUUCAUUGCCUUUCAGGAAUUCUGUGUGCUCUUUUCCAAACUGGUAAGUUGCAGUUGUACCACAGACAUUUAUUUAAUGAAUUUUUCUCUCAGCCUUGGACCCCUGUCUGCAGAGAGCUGAGCUGCUGAGUUCCAAAGCUCCUUGCCCAGGACCAGCCCUCUCGGGCUCUCCCUCCCUCAUGGCCAGAGUGGAAAAGCACGUUUAAAUCCCGAGCUCGCCUUUCCCACGUGGUGCCUCGCUGAGCCGCUGUCACAGCCACGCCGCGCUCUCACAGGGCACCGGAGCCUCCCCCUGCCCUGCCGGGGAGGAACAAGGGCGCCCCAUGGAUUAUAAGAGAUGGGUCUCUUGUUCUCGUCCCCGAGCAUCCUUCCCGCAGCGCUCCGUCCAUCCCUGCCCGGCUCCCUGCGCUCUGCCCCGCCUGGAGCCGCAGCCGGCUCCGGCAGCCGAUCCAGUCCGCGUUUGUAGCCAGGGAAAGGCUGGGUAAUGAUAACUUGUGUGUGCGAGCUGAGCCGAGGCAGCGCUGACUUUAGUCCGGUUUCCAUGUCAACGAUUCAGUCCAUAUUUGCCAUCACACAGUUGGCAGA
Molecule: long non-coding RNA, 707 nt
Organism: Catharus ustulatus (Swainson's thrush)
Lineage: Eukaryota; Metazoa; Chordata; Aves; Passeriformes; Turdidae
Exons: 3
Source: RefSeq, a predicted model, not a curated record